CCUACGGGUGGCUGCAGUCGAGAAUCUUCCGCAAUGGACGAAAGUCUGACGGAGCGACGCCGCGUGAUGGAUGAAGUCCCUCAGGGACGUAAACAUCUUUUAUCGAGGAGAAAGUAAUUGAUAGUACUCGAGGAAUAAGGGGUUGCUAAACUCGUGCCAGCAGCAGCGGUAAUACGAGUGCCCCAAGCGUUAUCCGGAAUCAUUGGGCGUAAAGGGUGUGUAGGUGGCGCGGUUAGUCUCCUGUCAAAACUCCUGGCUUAACCAGGAAUCUGCAAGAGAAACGGCCGUGCUCGAGGGUGCGAGAGGUCUGUGGAACUCAUGGAGUAGGGGUGAAAUCCGUUGAUAUCAUGGGGAACACCAAAAGCGAAGGCAACAGACUGGCGCAUUCCUGACACUGAAACACGAAAGCGUGGGUAGCGAACGGGAUUAGAUACCCGGGUAGUC
This 444-nucleotide ribosomal RNA is filed under the name uncultured bacterium. RNAcentral's name for it is "bacterial SSU rRNA". It matches the Rfam family "Bacterial small subunit ribosomal RNA", at positions 338 to 795 of the family's 1533-position model. The record is from RNAcentral.